UACGUAGGUGGCAAGCGUUGUCCGGAUUUAUUGGGUUUAAAGGGUGCGUAGGCGGUUUUAUAAGUCAGUGCUGAAAUAUCCCGGCUUAACCGGGAGGGUGGCAUUGAUACUGUAGGACUUGAGUAAAGUUGAGGUAGGCGGAAUUGACGGUGUAGCGGUGAAAUGCUUAGAUAUCGUCAAGAACACCGAUAGUGAAGACAGCUUACUAAGCUUUAACUGACGCUGAGGCACGAAAGUGUGGGGAUCAAACAGG
RNAcentral lists this ribosomal RNA (253 nucleotides) under uncultured bacterium. RNAcentral describes it as "partial 16S ribosomal RNA". It matches the Rfam family "Bacterial small subunit ribosomal RNA", at positions 524 to 776 of the family's 1533-position model. The record is from RNAcentral.